CAAAAAUAUGUACCAAUAGGCACGUAUUGCUACAGUUUUGAAAAACAAACGUCCACUGGGGUCGCUAAAGAGAAGAACUCCAUGUGACAUUACAUUAGGAGUUGCAUUUCAUUACAUCGCGAGAUUUAACAACGCAUUGGUGUGCCACUCUGGGUGGCUCUGGCACACUCGUGGCUACGCCCCGCCGUGACCCAAAUCUCAUUCGCACAUCAUCGCGAAAUUUAUCAUCAAUUUACAAAUGUCAUCACAUCUCGAUCAAGUACAGUACCAGAUGGCUUGAUGGGUUUGGGCUCACAGAUGGGUAAGGAAUGGAAAGGCUGUGGUCUUUCCUCCAAAGAUUUUCCAGAGUCACAAAGGAGAUGACUCCAUCUCAUCGCCUUGACCUACUGACUGAUGCCCUUUUGCAUUAUGGACGGAGGAAAUCAACUGACCUAGAGGUGCAGCUCCUGCAAAGAGUAGACAAAGCAGAGAAAAUAUUGAUUCUCGCUCCUCAAGAAGAUAUUUCAUCUGUCAUCAGAUAGCUACCAGGUAAACAAUGCACAUAAGAAGCAGGUAACAAUUAGUUGUAGAUGGGAGAAUAUUACAUUCCAUUUAUAAGUGCAAUUUGCACAAGAGUAUUUAGGAUUGAUGUGUGUCUUGUUUUCUGUUAUUGUUGUUGUAUAGUGUUGAUUUCUGAAGGAGACAUGGAGAGAUGGAAAAAAGCUAGCCCAACAGAAACCAAUAAGUAAGGAACUGAAGUUAAAGUCUUAAAUACUAGACUCUGUCUGUAGAUGGAAAAGUGACUACAUCAUCAGACUGAUUCAGUUCUACAAGUUCAAAUAUUAGAAUUGAGGACUCUGCUGAACAUUGAGAAAAAAUACCGUAUUGGGAGAAGAUGGCAAGAGUCUGAUUCAAACUUCCAGUCUACCCUUAAAGAUGUGGACCGUGAGCUCAGAGUCCAACUUCAAGGCUAGAACUGAAUCAAGGGAGAGAGAGCAGUCCUCCUCCACCUGAGAAGAAUAUAUCCAUCUUUGCUUCAGAUGGGCAGGGCAUUGCCAUUAGACUCUCCAAGCAGGUAGCCAGCUCCAGCAAUAGACUGAGACAGGCAAUAAAAGAAUACAACAGCAUUCAAUGGUCACCGCAGAUGAGCUUCUUACCUGCGACAAUUGAUUUUCAGGAAUCAUGUGAUCCCUCUUGGCAUGUCUACUUCUGCUUUGAUGACACUAUUGAAGAAGAUGAUGUUUCGAGGAGGCGAGGGAUUGAUGCCUUACAUAUGAAGACUCAUUCAACGCUUCCAACAGCUGGAAAGAAAACUACAUCAAGCCAUUGUGAUGUUUCACCCACAUGUAUCAGACUUUGUUCCUGCAGACAACCCCCACUUGUGUCAGGCCCUCCCCAUGCCAAGCAUACAGACACUGGUAUACAAUGAUAAGAGUGAUAAUGACAAUGUGGAUAAAUAUGAUAACUACGGAGAUCAUUGUGUUUGGCUCGCCCGAUGUUCUGGAAAAUUCUUUUGGAAAUUCUGGUAUUUUAUCUUCUUCGGUCAAAUCAAGUGUAAAAAACUUAGGUGUAUUUUUCGAUAGUGCACUAAAAUUUGAUAGGCAAAUAAAUGCAGUUGUAAAAGCGAGUUUUUACCAAUUAAGAAUGCUGGCUAAAGUGAAGACCUUUCUUUCUUUUAAACACUUAGAAAUUGCAACCCACGCUUUUAUUUCGUCCAGAAUUGAUUAUUGUAAUGCGCUGUAUGUGGGAAUAAAUAGCGAGAUUACAAAUGGUUCAAAAUUCCGCUGCGCGGCUGUUAACCGGCGUUCGUAAAUACGAACAUAUUUCUCCUGUGCUAAUGUCUUUACAUUGGCUUCGGGUACAGUGUAGAAUUGAUUUUAAAGUGCUUUUGCACGUUUUUAAAUCGUUAAAUGGACUCGCUCCCCUCUACCUCUCGGAUUUGUUGGGUGAAUAUCGUCCAGAAAGAACUCUUCGGUCUGCCAACCAGAAUCUGUUAACUGUUCCAAAGUCCAAAUUAAAAUCUAGGGGUGACCGAGCUUUUGCCAUAGCCGCACCUAAACUUUGGAACACUUUACCGCUUCAUAUAAGAAUAUCCCCAACAUUACAUAUUUUUAAAUCUAAGUUAAAAACAUACUUUUUUACUAAGGCCUAUGACUCGUGAUGAUACUUGUUGUCUGAUGUUGAUGUGGUUUGUAUAUUUGUGUUUUUUUUAAUUAGUCAUUAUCUCAUUGUACAGCACAUUGGUCAAGUGGAGUUGUUUUUAAUCGUGCUUUAUAAAUAAAUUGAGACUUGAGACUUGAACUAGCACUACAGAUAUUUUUUUUAAUUUCUAGUCUGAUAUUGUAUUCUGUAAAAAGAAUGAUGUAAAUGUAUAGUAUAUGUUGCAGCAUAUCAUAGAAACCUUUAUGGUGGUGUAAUAUAAUGCUCGCCUUACUUGUGCAAACAUGAUGUUUUACUAGGUCUGAUUUAUUUUAAAGCGUAGGUACUGUUUUUAAGCACACAUAAUCACACUAGUCUGUGUGAGGACAAAAUUGUGUGUUUACCAUUGUGAUGUUACUUAUUUACUGUAAUGUACAAAUGUGUGUAAGGUGUUUUGUUUUUGUGUGCUAAGUUGAAAUGACAAAGUAUUGAAUCUUGAAUCCUUUGAAACAAAUACUGUAAAAGUUUGUAAAAAAUAAAAUGUUUUCCACAAUGA
Paramisgurnus dabryanus is the source of this 2674-nucleotide non-coding RNA. NCBI's taxonomy places the organism in Eukaryota, Metazoa, Chordata, Actinopteri, Cypriniformes, Cobitidae. The record is from RefSeq and is a predicted model, not a curated record.